CGCGUGGGAACCUGCCUUUGGGUACGGAAUAACUGUGGGAAACUGCGGCUAAUACCGUAUGACGCCGAGAGGCCAAAGAUUUAUCGCCCAUUGAGGGGCCCGCGUCGGAUUAGCUAGUUGGUGGGGUAAUGGCCUACCAAGGCGACGAUCUGUAGCUGGUUUGAGAGGAUGAUCAGCCACACUGGGACUGAGACACGGCCCAGACUCCUACGGGAGGCAGCAGUGGGGAAUAUUGGACAAUGGGCGCAAGCCUGAUCCAGCAAUGCCGCGUGAGUGAAGAAGGCCCUAGGGUUGUAAAGCUCUUUCGUCAGGGAAGAUAAUGACGGUACCUGAAGAAGAAGCCCCGGCUAACUCCGUG
This 358-nucleotide ribosomal RNA is filed under the name uncultured bacterium. RNAcentral's name for it is "bacterial SSU rRNA". It matches the Rfam family "Bacterial small subunit ribosomal RNA", at positions 114 to 507 of the family's 1533-position model. The record is from RNAcentral.